RNAcentral lists this ribosomal RNA (100 nucleotides) under Danio rerio (zebrafish). Lineage: Eukaryota; Metazoa; Chordata; Actinopteri; Cypriniformes; Danionidae. The record is from RNAcentral.
UGCCACAGCCAUAUCACCCUGCAGCCCAAGACUGGUUACACUGAAGCCUGGCCUGUACCUGGAUGGGAGACCACAUGGGAAAACUAGGUUGCUGUUGUAA